AAAAAUACAAAAAUAUUUUUCCAACCUCUUUGAAGGAUGAUAGAUCUAUGAAAAAUAUUCUCAUCAAUUUAUUAAUUGAUUUGAGAUUCAUUUGAGAUUUUAGUUCAAUUAGGUUAUUUUUAUGCAUUUUUAAUUGAUUUAAAAUAGUUUCUGACUUUUAAAAAUGCUGAAUUUUUUUGUCAAACUUUGUUUGACCUUGUUAAACUUGGGAUAAUUCACUUGGACUUUUUAAAGUUGAUUUGAAGUGAGUUUGAAGUUUGACCUUUCU
This 268-nucleotide long non-coding RNA is filed under the name Lathyrus oleraceus (garden pea). RNAcentral describes it as "Pisum sativum (pea) long non-coding RNA (PSAT_LNC000426)". The record is from RNAcentral. Lineage: Eukaryota; Viridiplantae; Streptophyta; Magnoliopsida; Fabales; Fabaceae.